Molecule: ribosomal RNA, 497 nt
Filed under: uncultured bacterium
Lineage: Bacteria
Description: partial 16S ribosomal RNA
Rfam family: Bacterial small subunit ribosomal RNA
Source: RNAcentral
GACGAACGCUGGCGGCGUGCCUAAUACAUGCAAGUAGAACGCUGAAGAGAGGAGCUUGCUCUUCUUGGAUGAGUUGCGAACGGGUGAGUAACGCGUAGGUAACCUGCCUUGUAGCGGGGGAUAACUAUUGGAAACGAUAGCUAAUACCGCAUAACAAUGGAUGACACAUGUCAUUUAUUUGAAAGGGGCAAUUGCUCCACUACAAGAUGGACCUGCGUUGUAUUAGCUAGUAGGUGAGGUAAUGGCUCACCUAGGCGACGAUACAUAGCCGACCUGAGAGGGUGAUCGGCCAGACUGGGACUGGGACACGGCCCAGACGGCUACGGGAGGCAGCAGUAGGGAAUCUUCGGCAAUGGGGGCAACACUGACCGAGCAACGCCGCGUGAGUGAAGAAGGUUGUCGGAUCGUAAAGCUCUGUUGUAAGUCAAGAACGGGUGUGAGAGUGGAAAGUUCACACUGUGACGGUAGCUUACCAGAAAGGGACGGCUAACUACGUG